Molecule: ribosomal RNA, 253 nt
Filed under: uncultured bacterium
Lineage: Bacteria
Description: partial 16S ribosomal RNA
Rfam family: Bacterial small subunit ribosomal RNA
Source: RNAcentral
UACGUAGGGUGCAAGCGUUGUCCGGAAUUAUUGGGCGUAAAGAGCUCGUAGGCGGUCUGUCGCGUCGAAUGUGAAAACCCGGGGCUCAACCCCGGGCCUGCAUUCGAUACGGGCAGACUAGAGUUCGGUAGGGGAGUCUGGAAUUCCUGGUGUAGCGGUGAAAUGCGUAGAUAUCUGGAGGAACACCGGUGGCGAAGGCGGCAUCCUGGACCAACACUGACACUGAAAAGCGAAAGCCAGGGGAGCAAACGGG